RNAcentral lists this ribosomal RNA (466 nucleotides) under uncultured bacterium. RNAcentral describes it as "partial 16S ribosomal RNA". It matches the Rfam family "Bacterial small subunit ribosomal RNA", at positions 29 to 507 of the family's 1533-position model. The record is from RNAcentral.
ACGCACGCUGGCGGCGUGCUUAACACAUGCAAGUCGAACGGAAAGGCCCUGCUUUUGUGGGGUGCUCGAGUGGCGAACGGGUGAGUAACACGUGAGUAACCUGCCCUUGACUUUGGGAUAACUUCAGGAAACUGGGGCUAAUACCGGAUAGGAGCUCCUGCUGCAUGGUGGGGGUUGGAAAGUUUCGGCGGUUGGGGAUGGACUCGCGGCUUAUCAGCUUGUUGGUGGGGUAGUGGCUUACAAGGCUUUGACGGGUAGCCGGCCUGAGAGGGUGACCGGCCACAUUGGGACUGAGAUACGGCCCAGACUCCUACGGGAGGCAGCAGUGGGGAAUAUUGCACAAUGGGCGGAAGCCUGAUGCAGCAACGCCGCGUGCGGGAUGACGGCCUUCGGGUUGUAAACCGCUUUCGCCUGUGACGAAGCGUGAGUGACGGUAAUGGGUAAAGAAGCACCGGCUAACUACGUG